Small nucleolar RNA from Lathyrus oleraceus (garden pea), 130 nucleotides. RefSeq annotates it as small nucleolar RNA snoR135. The transcript has a single exon. The record is from RefSeq and is a predicted model, not a curated record. NCBI's taxonomy places the organism in Eukaryota, Viridiplantae, Streptophyta, Magnoliopsida, Fabales, Fabaceae.
UGGGCAGGGACUGUGGGCUGCAAUUAGUGCACUCUCCCAUAAAGUUCCCUGAAACAUGAAGUUGGGAAAGAUGGGCAGUUGUGUUUCAUCUUUACAGUUAAAAAUAACAACAAUCAGCUUCCCUACAUUU